CCUUUCAUCCCUAGGUGUUUGAAGUGCAUCUUUGCAUUUCCUGCAUAACUGGAUCCUAGCUCAUUAAGGGUUGCAGACAUCAGCCUCUGGAGAGAAGACAGAGUGGUGCUAACUCCUGGGAAGUGCUUUGCAUGGCAUGACAGGGAGAAAGGCCUGAGUGCCAUCGCCCUUGAGCAUCAUGGGCAGGGAUUUGGAGCACAUGCACAGGUUUGGAGGAGGAGAGGUCAAGCUCCCAAAUGUUGUUUUCCAUCCGUGUCAAAAUGGAUUCAUCAUGUCAAUGUAAUACAAGAUAAGAAUUCUUACUUACUGGAGGA
Molecule: long non-coding RNA, 314 nt
Organism: Parus major (Great Tit)
Lineage: Eukaryota; Metazoa; Chordata; Aves; Passeriformes; Paridae
Exons: 3
Source: RefSeq, a predicted model, not a curated record